Molecule: RNA transcript, 1607 nt
Organism: Orbicella faveolata
Lineage: Eukaryota; Metazoa; Cnidaria; Anthozoa; Scleractinia; Merulinidae
Gene name: migration and invasion enhancer 1-like
Source: RefSeq, a predicted model, not a curated record
GUCACGCACCGUCAAGUCCUUGUUGAAACUACUUCUUGGGGCAGUUGAGAAAGAAAAGUCGUCUUUAUGGCAUCGAAAGUGGAAGUUUCCAUAGAAUAUUGUGGUGCAUGAGGAUACGCCCCACGCUACAGGGAACUGGCGGAUAAAAUCAAAGCCGAUGUCCCUGCAGCAAAUGUGGCUGGUCAUGUCGGCCGCAGAUCCUCAUUUGAAGUCACAGUGAAUGGGAAAUUGAUUUUCUCCAAGCUUUCACAAGGAAGUUUUCCUUCCUUUAAAGAGGUCGUCAGUGUGGUACGUGAGUGCAGCCAAGGAAAAGACACACGUGAAGUGAAGGAGAAAGAAGAAUCCGAAUGUAUUUUGCUUUAAAAUGCAUCAUGCCAGUCCAACUACUGCAAAUUUUACGGCACAUUAUUUAUUGCUUUUAUUAUAAAUUUAAAACAAAAUAAUCAUUUCAUAGCAUUUUGCAGAGGGCCUGCCUAUUUCAAGCUCUCAAUGAGUAAAGAACAAGCCAAAAUCUGAUGAGGCACAAAAAGGAGCAUGCUCUUCCCUCAAGGGAUUACAUGUCAUUACUGUCCUGCAGCUUGCUUUGUUCUUCAAUCACACAUGUGGCCUUAAUUAACCUACACAAUAAUGCAGGCAUCUGUUCUGGUGCUACUCUCUUAACACCCAAGCGAGAUUCAUCUGUACAUGUACAUCUGUAUGCUGUAUCUUAGACCAGAGCCAAGUGUUAUUGAGCAUGUGCACUAUGCAUACACAUAGAUAUCUUUGUCGUGGCUAUGAUGAGUUGUUUGCUUGCAAAUUAUUACACAGAUUGCUGUAGUGUCUCUUACAAAGGGUUGAGAAACUGGUUCCCAGACUUUUCAGGUACCUACAAAUUAUGCAUUGUAUGUUUUUUUAAUGUCAGCACACACAAGGGGACUGGUCCCUACGACUAGUCCCUGUAACAAGUCGCAGGGACAAGUCCCAUGAUGUGAACUGGCCAUUUUUGCCACAAAACUAGUCACAGGGACUAAAAUUUGGUCCCUAUGACCAGUCCCACGAAUUCAAACUGGUUUGAAUUUUUGGGACAAGUCCAUGCGACUUGUUCCUCUAAAUGCUCCGUGUGAACUGUUCGUGGGACAAGUCCCUGGGACCAGUCCCUUCGUGUAAACUCUUCAGGGGACUAGUUGCAGGGACUGGUCGCAGGGACCAGUCCCCUUGUGUGCCAACCUUUAGAUGCCAAGAAGAAUGGAACAGGCUCAAUUCAUUCAGCACUUCCAAUGUUUGUUUUUAAAUUUUGGUAGCAAGGCCUUCUUAGGUCAGUGAAUGAGCACAUGUUGACAAGCAAGUUUUGCAAUAAAUUUUAGUGUCGCACGUUAUUAUUUAAUUGUAUUUAGCAGUGUGGCAAACUACACAUAUCCUUUGUUGAUGCAAAGAGUUAUGUUGUUUGUAUUUUUGUAUGAUAGUCACGUCUAAAAAUGCUCUCAGUAAUGAUGCUGACUUGAUGUUUAAAAUGCAACAGUGUAACAGCAGAGGCAUGUGGAUAUACCAGUUUUGUUAUGCAGGUAAAUUUGAACAUUAUAACAAUGACAUUGUAAGAUCAAUUAAUAAAUCAAUGGAAUCAACAUCAA